This 460-nucleotide ribosomal RNA is filed under the name uncultured bacterium. RNAcentral's name for it is "partial 16S ribosomal RNA". It matches the Rfam family "Bacterial small subunit ribosomal RNA", at positions 338 to 795 of the family's 1533-position model. The record is from RNAcentral.
CCUACGGGAGGCAGCAGUGAGGAAUCUUCGUCAAUGGGCGAGAGCCUGAACCAGCCAAGUCGCGUGAAUGAUGAAGGAUCUAUGGUCUUUAAACUUCUUUUAUAUGGGAAUAAAGUGAGGAACGUGAUUCUUCUCGUAUCUACCAUAUGAAUAAGCAUCGGCUAACUACGUGCCAGCAGCCGCGGUAAUACGGAGGAUGCGAGCGUUAUCCGGAUUUAUUUGGUUUAAAGGGUGCGUAGGUGGUUAAUUAAGUCAGCGGUGAAAGUUUGUGGCUCAACCAUAAAAUUGCCGUUGAAACUGGUUGACUUGAGUAUAUUUGAGGUAGGCGGAAUGCGUGGUGUAGCGGUGAAAUGCGUAGAUAUCACGAAGAACUCCGAUGGCGAAGGCAGCUUACUAAACUAUAACUGACGCUGAAGCACGAAAGCGUGGGUAUCAAACAGGAUUAGAUACCCCUGUAGUC